UUCAGAAAGAUAUUAUGGAAGUUUCUCCCCUUGUUCAUUUAUAUCCUUAAAUCAGAGUAACUACUUCUACACAAGUGGGAUAGUCUCUUUGAAUAGUUCAAAGAAAAGAGGAGGCCAUAACGAAAAGGAGUGGGGUUCUAAUAAAAUUUUUUCGCUUUUUGUCAAAACGCAACCUAGUGGACAUAAAGGUAGCUACUUUUGACAACACAACGUCCGCGUAUAAUAAUUUUAUGGUUUCUCGUUACACGUGUUUCUAGUAAAAGAUUCAUCAUUUUGUAACAACGCUGAAAAGAGUAGCUGUUUUUUUAUAAGUUCAACGAACAUUUGAUCAAUAAAUAGCAUUCAAACCGUAGUUGGAUAGAGAAUACAACAACAUAUCAAUACAUUUCAUAUAAAUAUAUAUGUAUUUAUUUCUUUUUUCUGGUUAAAACUACGAAAAUCGAUUUUCCCAGCAUAAUCUUUAUUAGAAGAAAAAAAAAGGAGAUCACUUCGGAUUUUAGUGCUGGCUUUGACUGUUGCAAUGUACUUUGAAAAUUGUUUUUCAUAUACGUUGAAACUCUGGAGUGAAGGAAUUCCAGCAAAUGUUUUUAGCAGAAGACACGAUAAAAGGAUAGAAUAAAUAUGCAGCUAUGACCUCUUUUCUGAAAAAGAGUCUUCCUUUCAUUACCUCGUUUACUGGAGGAUUGAUAUUCUACAAAAUAUAUAGUUUUAUUAAAAAUAAACGAUUUGUUUCAUUUAUUGGUAAAGCAGUUUUCAUUACGGGAUGCGAUACAGGGUUUGGUUACUUAUUAACCAAACAACUUGCAAAGAUGGGCAUCUUUGUCUUUGCUUCUUGCUAUACGGAUGCUGGUAAAAGAAAAUUGGAAGAGGAAUCUUUACCAGCUGUUAUCCCAAUUAAGGUGGAUGUUAGAAAUACUGCAACUAUACAAGAGGCCUUUGAGAUCGUAUUGGCAACUGUCGAAGAAAAAGAUUUAAGUAAGUAGUAGGACAGGAUAUUGUAUAAAUUAUUGUUUAGUUAGGCCUAUUCGAACCCUCUUUAAGUCUAUUAUAGCAAUAUUUGUAACUUGGUUACUAGGAUUUAACGGUAAACAAGUGUCAAUCUUUGCCGAGAAAUGACAAAGAAUGGUGAAGUGUGCUCUUUCUGUGGUCAAGAUGAUAGAGAGGUAAUUAGGAUACUCGAAUGUGGCCAUCGUACUUGUCAGGAUUGCUCGAAAACUCUAAUAAGUAUCGAUAAGAGUGAUGUUGUUAUUUGCAAACUUUGCGUUGAGUCAGAGCAAGCUGAGGAUGUAAAUAUAAAUGUCGAAUACAUUAAUCCCUUAAGAGCAAAAAGAGAUAGGGAGGAAAAAGAGAAAGAAAAAGAAAAUGAAAAAGAAAAUGAAAAAGAGAAAGAAAAGAAAAGAGAAGACGAAGAACAAGAAAAAGAAAAGGAAAAAGAAAAAGAAAAGAAGGAUAGAAAAGAAACAGAAAAACUGACCGAAAAACAAGAGGAAAAGAAAGAAAGCUUUAAAGAAAUCGUCACUAAAGAGCAAGAUAAAAUUGAGAAUAGUCAGGAAAGUCAGAAAGAAAACACUAUUGAAAUCGAUAAAGAAAAUCCUAAGAGAAAUGAAAGAAAAAAGAGUAGUUCUUCUGAAUCAAGUUCAAGUAGUUCAUCUUCUGACGAUGAAGAGGAAGACAAUGAUCAAAGAAAUUUAUGCUCAGAAUUAGUAGAAGAAAUUGAGUUAUCGAAGAAUCAAAUAAUGGGUCUAACCUCUCUUCCGGAUGAAGAAGGAUUAAUCUUAGUAACAGAUUCUGAUAUCGUAUUAUUGGAUCUGACAGGAAAGGAAAUUCAUAAAUUUCAUUACCUAAUUAAUCACUCAUACACUGGUGGUUUAUGCCUAUCUGAAGACGGAAAUAGAAUUCUUGUGGGUUUAUCGAGUCCAAAAUAUACAGGUGUUGCAUUUUACGAAAGAACAGGGAAAUUUCGAUAUUCAGCUUUCAUUAAACAUCCGGGAGUCAUAACAGCCGUUCAAACUUUUGAUGACGGCCUAAUAAUAUUAGAUAGAGAGAAGAAAAGUAUUUAUCACCUAAAUUCAGAGAAGAGAAUCAUGGAAGAAUUUCCCGGAGAUAGGCGCCAUCUAGCUGAUUUGGUUCACUUAGCAAUUGAUUACCAAUAUCGUUUCUUAAUCUUAGAUCGACGUAAUUGCACAAUCGAAUGUAUGAAUGAGAAGGGUAAAGUUUUAUUUAGCUUCGGUAGCCCUGAAAAUCUCAAUAAUCCAAUAAAAAUAUUAGCGGCUGAAGAAGAUUUAAUCUUAGUAUUGGGGACGAAUAAAAUAACAGCUUUCAAUUACGAAGGUCGAUUUAUCACCAAUAUAUAUCAGACUAAAACUCAUGAAUUUGUAGAUUUUUGUAAAUUGGCACCAAAGUUAAUUGCCAUACUAAGAAAAGAUGGAAAAAUAAUUAAGAUACGAUAUAAUAUCAUGUACCAAAAUUUUCGGAAUACUGCAAUAAAAAGGAAGACAAAUGGCAAAAAAGGACAAAUAAAUUCAACGAAUAAUCAAUUAACUUUUACUCAAAAGAGUACAUGCUGUUGUAUAUCUUAAAAAUGAAAUAGAAAUUUGUAUACUAGGCCUAAUUUAGUAAUAAUAAAAAAAAUACUUAUAGUUAUUUGUUCUUUGUAUGUGUUUUUUAUACAGUUUUCUGGGCUAUUGUAAAUAACGCUGGCGUUUCCACCGUUAAUUCGCCGUUUGAAUUCUAUACGAGAGAUGAUUACGAAAAUGUUUUCAAUAUAAACGUUUUCGGUAUAGCCGAAGUCUCUAGAAUAUUCUUGCCUCUUUUGAAAAUUUCACAAGGAAGAAUAAUAAAUACAACAAGUGCUUCUGGUUUUCUUCCGCUACCUUCGGCAGCCGUUUACUCAACUAGCAAAUACGCUGCCGAAGCUCUAUCGGAUAUUAUGAGAAUAGAGGCAAGAAGAUGGGGAAUAAAGGUGUCCAAAAUUCAACCUGGUCUUUUUAAAACGGAUUGCCAUAAUUAUGAACGUAUGAAAACACUUCGAAAUAGACAAUGGUCCCGUUUACCAGAAGCUAUUCGAUUAGAAUACGGAAAUAAGUUUUCGUAUAGUUCUCUCAAUAUAGCUGAAAAGCAAAUCGAUACGAGAGCUUCGACUAAUUUACAAUUAGUUAUUGAUGCCUACUUGAACGCUCUCUUCUCUAUUCAACCCCAUACCUCUUACAUUAUUGGAUCGGAUGCAAAAUGGGUAUUCUAUCCUCUCUCAUUUGUUCCACAUUGCUUAAGGGAUGUUAUAUUGAGUUUCAUUAGUGCUCCUUUAUUAAAUAGGAGAAAAUGGAAUUUUAAAAAGAGAAAGAACUAAAAACAAAAAUCAUAAAUUUCUUAAAG
Molecule: unclassified non-coding RNA, 3372 nt
Filed under: Dimorphilus gyrociliatus
Lineage: Eukaryota; Metazoa; Annelida; Polychaeta; Dinophilidae
Description: rING-type domain-containing protein
Source: RNAcentral